RNAcentral lists this long non-coding RNA (275 nucleotides) under Elaeis guineensis (African oil palm). RNAcentral describes it as "long non-coding RNA (EGUI_LNC065338)". Lineage: Eukaryota; Viridiplantae; Streptophyta; Magnoliopsida; Arecales; Arecaceae. The record is from RNAcentral.
UCGCCCUUUGUUGUUGCCCUUUUCCGCUUCUUAGAUAUCUCUUUGGCUUCAGUUGCUCCGAAUUCCUUUAGGUUUUUGAUAGGGUUUCUUUCCCUUUGCCAUGUAGUUGAAGUUCAGCCAUCCCUUUCUUUGUUUAGGCAUUUCUACACUUUCAAGUGUCACCCUUCGGCAAAGGACUGGUGGUAUUUCUCCCCUCAGUUUGGCAAGAAGGGGUUGCUGAAAGGCGCUCCCUCUUCAAUCCACAACUGAAAGGGAAAAUACCUCUUCGUCCACUG